This is a long non-coding RNA of Telopea speciosissima, 192 nucleotides long. RefSeq lists it as uncharacterized. The record is from RefSeq and is a predicted model, not a curated record. Lineage: Eukaryota; Viridiplantae; Streptophyta; Magnoliopsida; Proteales; Proteaceae. The transcript is spliced from 2 exons.
UUCGGUGGCCAUAUGGCCAAGAUAGGUCCUGAAACUUGACAUCCAUCCUAUUUUAGGCCUUCUAAACACAGUGGAAUCAUUAGUUUUUACAAAUUCAAACCCAAAAUGGUAAUUUGACUUCGGAUCCUAGGUUGAUAGUCUACGGCGUAUGUGGGGUCUACCCUAGGCUAAGCCACACAAUAUUUAGAACUU